Molecule: ribosomal RNA, 491 nt
Filed under: uncultured bacterium
Lineage: Bacteria
Description: partial 16S ribosomal RNA
Rfam family: Bacterial small subunit ribosomal RNA
Source: RNAcentral
AGUGAACGCUGGCGGUAGGCCUAACACAUGCAAGUCGAACGGCAGCACAGUAAGAGCUUGCUCUUACGGGUGGCGAGUGGCGGACGGGUGAGGAAUACAUCGGAAUCUACUUUUUCGUGGGGGAUGACGUAGGGAAACUUACGCUAAUACCGCAUACGACCUACGGGUGAAAGCAGGGGAUCUUCGGACCUUGCGCGAUUGAAUGAGCCGAUGUCGGAUUAGCUAGUUGGCGGGGUAAAGGCCCACCAAGGCGACGAUCCGUAGCUGGUCUGAGAGGAUGAUCAGCCACACUGGAACUGAGACACGGUCCAGACUCCUACGGGAGGCAGCAGUGGGAAUAUUGGACAAUGGGCGCAAGCCUGAUCCAGCCAUACCGCGUGGGUGAAGAAGGCCUUCGGGUUGUAAAGCCCUUUUGUUGGGAAAGAAAAGCAGCAGGUUAAUACCCCGCUGUUCUGACGGUACCCAAAGAAUAAGCACCGGCUAACUUCGUG